GACAGAGGGUGCAAACGUUGUUCGGAAUUACUGGGCGUAAAGCGCGUGUAGGCGGUCUGCUAAGUCGGGUGUGAAAGCCCUGGGCUCAACCCAGGAAGUGCACUCGAAACUGGCAGGCUAGAGUACUGGAGAGGUUGGUGGAAUUCUCGGUGUAGAGGUGAAAUUCGUAGAUAUCGAGAGGAACACCGGUGGCGAAGGCGGCCAACUGGACAGAUACUGACGCUGAGACUCGAAAGCGUGGGGAGCAAACAGG
RNAcentral lists this ribosomal RNA (253 nucleotides) under uncultured bacterium. RNAcentral's name for it is "partial 16S ribosomal RNA". It matches the Rfam family "Bacterial small subunit ribosomal RNA", at positions 524 to 776 of the family's 1533-position model. The record is from RNAcentral.